RNAcentral lists this ribosomal RNA (425 nucleotides) under uncultured bacterium. RNAcentral's name for it is "partial 16S ribosomal RNA". It matches the Rfam family "Bacterial small subunit ribosomal RNA", at positions 354 to 796 of the family's 1533-position model. The record is from RNAcentral.
GUGGGGAAUCUUGCGCAAUGGGCGAAAGCCUGACGCAGCCAUGCCGCGUGAAUGAUGAAGGUCUUAGGAUUGUAAAAUUCUUUCACCGGGGACGAGAAUGACGGUACCCGGAGAAGAAGCUCCGGCUAACUUCGUGCCAGCAGCCGCGGUAAUACGAAGGGGGCUAGCGUUGCUCGGAAUUACUGGGCGUAAAGGGCGCGUAGGCGGACAGUUUAGUCAGAGGUGAAAGCCCAGGGCUCAACCUUGGAAUUGCCUUUGAUACUGGCUGUCUUGAGUACGGGAGAGGUGAGUGGAACUCCGAGUGUAGAGGUGAAAUUCGUAGAUAUUCGGAAGAACACCAGUGGCGAAGGCGACUCACUGGCCCGUUACUGACGCUGAGGCGCGAAAGCGUGGGGAGCAAACAGGAUUAGAAACCCCUGUAGUCC